RNAcentral lists this long non-coding RNA (1626 nucleotides) under Lactuca sativa (garden lettuce). RNAcentral's name for it is "long non-coding RNA (LSAT_LNC007544)". Lineage: Eukaryota; Viridiplantae; Streptophyta; Magnoliopsida; Asterales; Asteraceae. The record is from RNAcentral.
UAAACUCAUAUGAUUUGGUGAUACUUUUGCAGAAACUGCAUGGUGAUAUAGAAUCUUUAGGUGUACAUGAAUCAUAAAGUAGGAAACUUCUCUUGUGGUGGCUCUACAUGAAAGUUCUUCCCCUGUUUCAACAAAGACCUAAUUCAAAAUCUUGAAAACCCCACAAAAUUGUAAAACAAUUGAAGGAAAAUAAAAAUAUCAAGUAUGCUAAAAAAAAGAGGAAUUAAACAUGUGAAUUUCAAAAACAUGUGUACUUGUUAAAAUAUGGACUUUAUGAGGUUGUAACACUUUGGGUUGGGAUGACAGUGAUCUGCAACAAAGAAAAAAAAAUUAAAGUCCCAAACAUGACAUGAUAUCACGUCAAAUAGGAAAUUAUAGAAAGGUACUCGUAUACACAAUAAAAUGGUCCUAUGGGUUAAAUUUUUUUCGAUUGAAAAUCUAACUAUUUCAAAAUUUGUGGAAAAAGUCAUCUACAUCCAGUUUCGUUAUGGAUUUUGGUCCCCGUUAAACUUGAAAAUGACUAAUGUGCCCUUUACAUUAUUACUUUUCUUAUUCUUUUUAUUUGUUUGAAAUAAAAAUGCUAUUAUUAAAUAAAAUGGAUCUUAUAUUCCUUACACCCACAAAUAACACACCAAAAGAAAUAUGAUUUUGAUCAAUAUAGUAAAAUAGUAUUUAAGACCAAAAAAAAUAAAUCGUCUAUUGCCUAAUGGUUUAUUUUAAAAUAUAUCAAAUUUUAUAUGCUAAUGUUAUAAACAAUUAUUAAGUUAGGAUAUUAAAAUGAUAAUGAUAUGAACUAAAAAAAUCAAAAUAUUAAACGAUCUUUUGAAAUUUAUAUAUAAAUCAAAGUUUAUAUAUAAAUAAAAUGGUAUAAAUGAAAAUGUUAGCACCAUGUUAAGCUGUUUGCUUCAUUUUAAUUUUAAAGUAUAAAAAUAUAACUAAAAACAAUUAAAGAUUGUAUUAAUCAAAUAGCCAACAUAUUAAAUCAGUCUUUUCGUUCAUAAAGAAUUUAUAUCGUGUAGAUAGAUUUACCCUUGCAGAAAUAGAACUAGUUUCAGUAAAUCAUGGGAAGCGUACCUUAAACUGCUGACAUGGAUCCUUCAACACAAGGUUUUUGUGUUGACAAAGAGAAAUGUAAACCUGAUAAAGUUUUUACGUGCUUUGGCAUGCUAGGCUCUAUUGUCCCUCGUAAGCUUAUCCAUAUGUGUAGAACCUCAACGAAAGUUGUUUCUACUAAAUUUUAACCACAAGAAGCAAAACAAAUAAAAACAGAAAAAAAUAUAAUUAUCAUAAAACAAAAUUACGAAGAGAAAAAGGAAUUAACCUUAGUUCUCACUUCAUAUACUUUUCCUCCAUCAUGUAUAACAAAGCCAGAAAAAAUAGAGACAACCCUUAUGUCAGUUUGAAAUGAUAUGUAGAAACAAACAACAAAGAUGAGAAGCACAAAUGCAAGAUGAACUAUUAAAAGAACGUCACUGAUAGCGAAAUAUUGUUAUUGAUUUGCAUUAGUGUUCUCAACACCAAUUCCCACCUUCAUAUGAAUCAUGUCCUGAAACCUAGAACACCUGAUGCAUUCAAAAUACUUCAAAGGCUCUAGCACAUUGCAAAUAUCAAUAAGAUAAUUGUAAG